AGAGUUUGAUCAUGGCUCAGGAUGAACGCUAGCGGCAGGCCUAAUACAUGCAAGUCGAAACGCUCAGUAGCAAUACUGGGAGUGGCGCACGGGUGCGUAACGCGUACACAAUCUACCUCUAAGCGGGGGACACCUCCUGGAAACGGGGAUUAAUACCGCAUAAUAUGCCGAGGUCGCAUGACUUUGGUAUUAAAGCAGCAAUGCACUUAGAGAUGAGUGUGCGUCCCAUUAGGUAGUUGGUGAGGUAACGGCUCACCAAGCCUAUGAUGGGUAGCCGGUCUGAGAGGAUGGUCGGCCACACGGGCACUGAGACACGGGCCCGACUCCUACGGGAGGCAGCAGUAAGGAAUAUUGGUCAAUGGUGGAAACACUGAACCAGCCAUGCCGCGUGGAGGAAUAAGGUCCUACGGAUUGUAAACUCCUUUUGACGAGGAAGAAAGUGUUAGAUUUAUCUAAUUUUGACGGUACUCGUAGAAUAAGCACCGGCUAACUCCGUG
This 497-nucleotide ribosomal RNA is filed under the name uncultured bacterium. Its description in RNAcentral is "bacterial SSU rRNA". It matches the Rfam family "Bacterial small subunit ribosomal RNA", at positions 8 to 507 of the family's 1533-position model. The record is from RNAcentral.